UCUAAUCUGAUGGAUUACCCGAUCUGUUGGGUUGCCGUUCCUCAUUCUAGUAAGUUCUUGUAAUGUUCUCCUUCGGUAAAACAUUUGUUCUUUGAUUGUCUGCUGAGCACUUUUACUCAUGCCCAUUGAUUUUGGUAAUGUUUCGCUCGCAGAGUGGCUACAAAAUAAAUUACUCGCUCCGUCCCACAAUAUAAGAGCAAUGUAUCGGUAACUUUGACCCUCCGCAUACUACAAGCGUUGCGAUUGAGCCUUGGUUCCAUCGAGUGUUGCCAGUGUGUACAAUAUCUCUGAUCCGCCGGGCGUCAUGGACAUCUAUUGGUAGCCUGCUCCUGUCUACGAUUCACUUGGCAUGGUUUGAUGUGAUCAAAGAUGCGUAUUGUUGCUAUAUUAAUCAGCUGGACAAUGUUCCUCAAAAGGAAUAUCAAUCCGACAAUGCAUGGUUAGCUAAGAUGAGGGAAAAGCAUCAUGGAUUUUUCAUGCUAAUCUCGGCGCAUUCAUUGUUGUGUCACAUGUGCAUAUGUGGUCAGGACUAUUGUAAUCUUUUUUUUGGGAAAUUGUGAUCUCUUUUUGAUUGGUUAUCCUGUCUUUUUUUAAUGAAAUAUGCAAUCCUAGUCUUGUUACAUUCGGACUACUACAUGCCUUUCCAUACAUGUAUCUUAUGCACAGAGACGUGACAACAUGACAGUUCAAUACUGCUAGUACGUACAUGCUAAUAUGUUACUCCCUCCAUUCCAAAAUAGAUG
RNAcentral lists this long non-coding RNA (743 nucleotides) under Triticum aestivum (bread wheat). Its description in RNAcentral is "long non-coding RNA (TAES_LNC014748)". The record is from RNAcentral. Lineage: Eukaryota; Viridiplantae; Streptophyta; Magnoliopsida; Poales; Poaceae.